GAGCUCUCCCAUAUGGUCGACCUGCAGGCGGCCGCGAAUUCACUAGUGAUUGUUUGAUCCUGGCUCAGAUUGAACGCUGGCGGCAGGCUUAACACAUGCAAGUCGAACGGUAACAGAGAAUAGCUUGCUAUUCUGCUGACGAGUGGCGGACGGGUGAGUAAUGCUUGGGAAUUUGCCGAAAGGUGGGGGACAACAGUUGGAAACGACUGCUAAUACCGCAUAAUGUCUACGGACCAAAGGUGGCCUCUAUUUAUAUGCUAUCGCCUUUCGAUGAGCCCAAGUGGGAUUAGCUAGUUGGUAAGGUAAUGGCUUACCAAGGCGACGAUCCCUAGCUGGUCUUAGAGGAUGACCAGCCACACUGGAACUGAGACACGGUCCAGACUCCUACGGGAGGCAGCAGUGGGGAAUAUUGCACAAUGGGGGAAACCCUGAUGCAGCCAUGCCGCGUGUGUGAAGAAGGCUUUCGGGUUGUAAAGCACUUUCAGCGAGGAGGAAAGGGUGAUGGCUAAUAUCCAUCAUCUGUGACGUUACUCGCAGAAGAAGCACCGGCUAACUCCGUGCCAGCAGCCGCGGUAAUACGGAGGGUGCAAGCGUUAAUCGGAAUUACUGGGCGUAAAGCGCGCGUAGGUGGUUAAUUAAGUCAGAUGUGAAAGCCCAGGGCUCAACCUUGGAACUGCAUUUGAAACUGGUUGACUAGAGUUUUGUAGAGGGUGGUAGAAUUUCAGGUGUAGCGGUGAAAUGCGUAGAGAUCUGAAGGAAUACCAGUGGCGAAGGCGGCCACCUGGACAAAGACUGACACUGAGGCGCGAAGGCGUGGGGAGCAAACGGGAUUAGAUACCCCGGUAGUCCACGCAGUAAACGAUGUCUAUUAGAAGUUUGUGGCUAUAUGCCGUGGGUUUCAAAGCUAACGCAUUAAAUAGACC
RNAcentral lists this ribosomal RNA (923 nucleotides) under Alteromonadales bacterium. Its description in RNAcentral is "bacterial SSU rRNA". It matches the Rfam family "Bacterial small subunit ribosomal RNA", at positions 1 to 870 of the family's 1533-position model. Lineage: Bacteria; Pseudomonadati; Pseudomonadota; Gammaproteobacteria; Alteromonadales. The record is from RNAcentral.